GAUGAACGCUGGCGGCGUGCCUAAUACAUGCAAGUCGAGCGAACAGACGAGGAGCUUGCUCCUCUGACGUUAGCGGCGGACGGGUGAGUAACACGUGGAUAACCUACCUAUAAGACUGGGAUAACUUCGGGAAACCGGAGCUAAUACCGGAUAAUAUAUUGAACCGCAUGGUUCAAUAGUGAAAGACGGUUUUGCUGUCACUUCUAGCUGGAUCCGCGCCGCAUUAGCUAGUUGGUAAGGUAACGGCUUACCAAGGCAACGAUGCGUAGCCGACCUGAGAGGGUGAUCGGCCACACUGGAACUGAGACACGGUCCAGACUCCUACGGGAGGCAGCAGUAGGGAAUCUUCCGCAAUGGGCGAAAGCCUGACGGAGCAACGCCGCGUGAGUGAUGAAGGUCUUCGGAUCGUAAAACUCUGUUAUUAGGGAAGAACAAAUGUGUAAGUAACUAUGCACGUCUUGACGGUACCUAAUCAGAAAGCCACGGCUAACUACGUG
This 497-nucleotide ribosomal RNA is filed under the name uncultured bacterium. RNAcentral describes it as "partial 16S ribosomal RNA". It matches the Rfam family "Bacterial small subunit ribosomal RNA", at positions 28 to 507 of the family's 1533-position model. The record is from RNAcentral.